This 254-nucleotide ribosomal RNA is filed under the name uncultured bacterium. RNAcentral's name for it is "partial 16S ribosomal RNA". It matches the Rfam family "Bacterial small subunit ribosomal RNA", at positions 524 to 776 of the family's 1533-position model. The record is from RNAcentral.
UACGUAGGAGGCGAGCGUUGUCCGGAAUUACUGGGCGUAAAGAGCGCGUAGGCGGCACGGUACGACCGGUGUGAAAGCCCCCGGCUCAACUGGGGAGGGUCACCGGUAACGGUCGAGCUAUGAGUGCAGGAGAGGGAAGUGGAACUCCGGGAGUAGCGGUGAAAUGCGUAGAGACCCGGAGGAACACCAGUGGCGAAGGCGGCUUCCUGGUCUGCGACUGACGCUGUGGCGCGAAAGCUAGGGGAGCAAACGGA